UGUUGGCUUAGAAGCAGCCACCAUUUAAAGAGUGCGUAAUAGCUCACUAGUCGAGUGACUCUGCGCCGAAAAUGUACCGGGGCUAAAUACACCACCGAAGCUGCGAAUUGAUACCAAUGGUAUCAGUGGUAGGGGAGCGUUCUAAGUGCAGUGAAGUCAGACCGGAAGGACUGGUGGAGCGCUUAGAAGUGAGAAUGCCGGUAUGAGUAGCGAAAGACGGGUGAGAAUCCCGUCCACCGAAUGCCUAAGGUUUCCUGAGGAAGGCUCGUCCGCUCAGGGUUAGUCAGGACCUAAGCCGAGGCCGACAGGCGUAGGCGAUGGACAACAGGUUGAUAUUCCUGUACCACCUCUUUAUCGUUUGAGCAAUGGAGGGACGCAGAAGGAUAGAAGAAGCGUGCGAUUGGUUGUGCACGUCCAAGCAGUUAGGCUGAUAAGUAGGCAAAUCCGCUUAUCGUGAAGGCUGAGCUGUGAUGGGGAAGCUCCUUAUGGAGCGAAGUCUUUGAUUCCCCGCUGCCAAGAAAAGCUUCUAGCGAGAUAAAAGGUGCCUGUACCGCAAACCGACACAGGUAGGCGAGGAGAGAAUCCUAAGGUGUGCGAGAGAACUCUGGUUAAGGAACUCGGCAAAAUGACCCCGUAACUUCGGGAGAAGGGGUGCUUUCUUAACGGAAAGCCGCAGUGAAUAGGCCCAAGCGACUGUUUAGCAAAAACACAGGUCUCUGCGAAGCCGUAAGGCGAAGUAUAGGGGCUGACACCUGCCCGGUGCUGGAAGGU
This 771-nucleotide ribosomal RNA is filed under the name Xenorhabdus doucetiae. RNAcentral describes it as "partial 23S ribosomal RNA". It matches the Rfam family "Bacterial large subunit ribosomal RNA", at positions 1099 to 1877 of the family's 2925-position model. Lineage: Bacteria; Pseudomonadati; Pseudomonadota; Gammaproteobacteria; Enterobacterales; Morganellaceae. The record is from RNAcentral.